GGGCUCCGCGGCCUAGCGCCCUGGUGGCCUUGCACGAAGCCUGCAAGGAAGGGGUUCUCCGCCGAGCGCCUCGGUCCUGAAGCAUGGCAGCCAUCCCUUCCAGCGGCUCGCUCGUGGCUACCCAUGACUACUAUCGGCGACGCCUGGGCUCCUCGUCCAGCAGCAGCUCCGGCGGAAGUGCCGAGUACCCUGGGGACGCCGUGCUCCAGUCCCCGGGUCUUCCCAAAGCCGACCCGGGCCACUGGUGGGCCAGCUUCUUUUUCGGGAAAUCCACACUCCCGUUCAUGACUACAGUGUUGGAGUCUCCUGAGCGAAUCCCCCCAGGUCUCCAGAAGCCCGAUGACCUGUGGCCUGACUCCUGAAACCAUGAAGCAGCAGCCAGUCAUCCAUUCUGGCCAGACCAACCCCAGGGACCUUUCCUGACCUAUCAGAAUCAGCAGCCUGCCCAAGCUGAAGUGGUGCUAGGCCAGUGCCUACCCUCUCGACCCUCCCUGUAAACUAGGAAGGCUGAACAAGAGAAACCAGUAGAAGCUGGAGAGAGCCCCCUCUUGGUUCACAGCACUGAACUUUCCUGACCCCAUAACUGUGUCUUGGCACAAAGCAGAAAAUAAACUCACAGCAGCCACC
Mus musculus (house mouse) is the source of this 627-nucleotide RNA transcript. It is a transcript of the gene named predicted gene 14719, with no coding region annotated. The record is from RefSeq and is a predicted model, not a curated record. Lineage: Eukaryota; Metazoa; Chordata; Mammalia; Rodentia; Muridae. The transcript has a single exon.